Molecule: ribosomal RNA, 193 nt
Filed under: uncultured bacterium
Lineage: Bacteria
Description: partial 16S ribosomal RNA
Rfam family: Bacterial small subunit ribosomal RNA
Source: RNAcentral
UACGGGAGGCAGCAGUGGGGAAUAUUGGACAAUGGGGGGAACCCUGAUCCAGCCAUGCCGCGUGUGUGAAGAAGGCCUUUUGGUUGUAAAGCACUUUAAGCGAGGAGGAGGCUACUAGUAUUAAUACUACUGGAUAGUGGACGUUACUCGCAGAAUAAGCACCGGCUAACUCUGUGCCAGCAGCCGCGGUAAU